CCUACGGGAGGCAGCAGUGAGGAAUAUUGGGCAAUGGACGCAAGUCUGAACCAGCAAUGCCGCGUGCAGGAAGACGGCUCUAUGAGUUGUAAACUGCUUUUGGACGGGGGUAAACGAGAAUACGCGUAUCUGUCUGAAAGUAGCGUACGAAGAAGGAGCGGCUAACGCCGUGCCAGCAGCGGCGGUAAUACGGAGGAUUAAAGCGUUCACCGGAUUUAUUGGGUUUAAAGGGUGGGUAGGCGGUCGGAUAAGUUAGAGGUGAAAUCCCGGGGCUCAACUUCGGAAUUGCUUGUGAUACUGUUCGGCUAGAGAGUAGUUGCGGUAGGCGGAAUGUAUGGUGUAGCGGUGAAAUGCUUAGAGAUCAUACAGAACACCGAUUGCGAAGGCAGCUUACCAAGCUACUUCUGACGUUGAGGCACGAAAGCGUGGGGAGCAAACAGGAUUAGAUACCCGUGUAGUC
RNAcentral lists this ribosomal RNA (460 nucleotides) under uncultured bacterium. RNAcentral describes it as "partial 16S ribosomal RNA". It matches the Rfam family "Bacterial small subunit ribosomal RNA", at positions 338 to 795 of the family's 1533-position model. The record is from RNAcentral.